UCCUGGCUCAGGAUGAACGCUAGCUACAGGCUUAACACAUGCAAGUCGCGGGGCAGCAUGGUCUUAGCUGCUAAGACUGAUGGCGACCGGCGCACGGGUGAGUAACGCGUAUCCAACCUUCCCCUUAGUAGGGCAUAGCCCGGCGAAAGUCGGAUUAAUACCCUAUGUUCUUCGUAGAUGGCAUCUGAGACGAAGCAAAGGUUAGCGCUAAGGGAUGGGGAUGCGUCUGAUUAGGCAGUCGGCGGGGUAACGGCCCACCGAGCCUUCGAUCAGUAGGGGUUCUGAGAGGAAGGUCCCCCACAUUGGAACUGAGACACGGUCCAAACUCCUACGGGAGGCAGCAGUGAGGAAUAUUGGUCAAUGGGCGAGAGCCUGAACCAGCCAAGUAGCGUGCAGGACGACGGCCCUACGGGUUGUAAACUGCUUUUAUGCGGGGAUAAAGUGCCCUACGUGUAGGGUAUUGCAGGUACCGCAUGAAUAAGGACCGGCUAAUUCCGUGCCAGCCGCUGC
RNAcentral lists this ribosomal RNA (510 nucleotides) under uncultured bacterium. Its description in RNAcentral is "bacterial SSU rRNA". It matches the Rfam family "Bacterial small subunit ribosomal RNA", at positions 17 to 518 of the family's 1533-position model. The record is from RNAcentral.